This 460-nucleotide ribosomal RNA is filed under the name uncultured bacterium. Its description in RNAcentral is "partial 16S ribosomal RNA". It matches the Rfam family "Bacterial small subunit ribosomal RNA", at positions 338 to 795 of the family's 1533-position model. The record is from RNAcentral.
CCUACGGGUGGCAGCAGUGAGGAAUAUUGGUCAAUGGCCGUAAGCCUGAACCAGCCAAGUAGCGUGAGGGAUGACUGCCCUAUGGGUUGUAAACUUCUUUUAUACGGGAAUAAAGUGCUGCACGUAUCCUGCUUUGCAUGUACCUUAUGAAUAAGGAUCGGCUAACUCCGUGCCAGCAGCCGCGGUAAUACGGAGGAUCCGAGCGUUAUCCGGAUUUAUUGGGUUUAAAGGGAGCGUAGGCGGGUUUUUAAGUGUGAUGUGAAAGUUUGCGGCUCAACCAUAAGAUUGCAGUUGAAACUGGCAGCCUUGAGUACGCUAGAGGCAGGCGGAAUUCGUGGUGUAGCGGUGAAAUGCUUAGAUAUCACGAAGAACCCCGAUUGCGAAGGCAGCCUGCUGGAGUGUUACUGACGCUGAAGCUCGAAAGUGUGGGUAUCAAACAGGAUUAGAUACCCGAGUAGUC